Microcebus murinus (gray mouse lemur) is the source of this 301-nucleotide long non-coding RNA. RefSeq lists it as uncharacterized. Lineage: Eukaryota; Metazoa; Chordata; Mammalia; Primates; Cheirogaleidae. The record is from RefSeq and is a predicted model, not a curated record.
CAGCAGCCUGCUCUCCAACUGGCCACCCGCAACGCUGCCCUGAGGAAAUGCGGAGCUACAUGGCAGCAGCAAGCAGCCGCCUCCCGGCGCCCGACAUUUUCCGCAUCAGGAAGAGCUUGCUGGAGAAGAGACCCAGUUCUGAAUUGCUACAGUUCCAGCUGAGGUUAUCCAAGAUCUGCUGACUUGUGGCAAGUUGCCAGACACAUGAGGGAGCCCAGUUAAGGCCAGAACUGCCAAGCCAACCUCAGUCUAAAUUGAUAACCCACAGACGUGUAAGCUAAAUAAAUGUCUUUUGUUUUAA